CCUACGGGUCGCAGCAGUGGGGAAUAUUGGACAAUGGGCGAAAGCCUGAUCCAGCCAUGCCGCGUGUGUGAAGAAGGCCUUCGGGUUGUAAAGCACUUUCAGUGGGGAAGAAAGCCUUGGGGCUAAUACCCUCGAGGAAGGACAUCACCCACAGAAGAAGCACCGGCUAACUCCGGGCCAGCAGCCGCGGUAAUACGGAGGGUGCGAGCGUUAAUCGGAAUUACUGGGCGUAAAGCGCGCGUAGGCGGUCUGAUAAGCCGGUUGUGAAAGCCCCGGGCUCAACCUGGGAACGGCAUCCGGAACUGUCAGGCUAGAGUGCAGGAGAGGAAGGUAGAAUUCCCGGUGUAGCGGUGAAAUGCGUAGAGAUCGGGAGGAAUACCAGUGGCGAAGGCGGCCUUCUGGACUGACACUGACGCUGAGGUGCGAAAGCGUGGGUAGCAAACAGGAUUAGAUACCCCUGUAGUC
This 465-nucleotide ribosomal RNA is filed under the name Vreelandella stevensii. RNAcentral's name for it is "partial 16S ribosomal RNA". It matches the Rfam family "Bacterial small subunit ribosomal RNA", at positions 338 to 795 of the family's 1533-position model. Lineage: Bacteria; Pseudomonadati; Pseudomonadota; Gammaproteobacteria; Oceanospirillales; Halomonadaceae. The record is from RNAcentral.